UGCAUUGUCCGAUGCAGAAAUAACAACAAAGAUCCUUGAUGGUCUCGACCUAGAAUACAACUGUGUCGUUUUAGCGCUUGCGGCUCGGGUUGAACCAGUGUCUAUUCAAGAAUUGUACACCCAGCUCCUGAGCUGCGAUG
Hordeum vulgare subsp. vulgare (domesticated barley) is the source of this 140-nucleotide non-coding RNA. Lineage: Eukaryota; Viridiplantae; Streptophyta; Magnoliopsida; Poales; Poaceae. The record is from Rfam.